Molecule: ribosomal RNA, 439 nt
Filed under: uncultured bacterium
Lineage: Bacteria
Description: partial 16S ribosomal RNA
Rfam family: Bacterial small subunit ribosomal RNA
Source: RNAcentral
CUACGGGGGGCACCAGUGGGGAAUAUUGCACAAUGGAGGAAACUCUGAUGCAGCAACGCCGCGUGGAGGAUGACACUUUUCGGAGCGUAAACUCCUUUUAUAUAGGAAGAUAAUGACGGUACUAUAUGAAUAAGCACCGGCUAACUCCGUGCCAGCAGCCGCGGUAAUACGGAGGGUGCAAGCGUUACUCGGAAUCACUGGGCGUAAAGAGCGUGUAGGCGGGUUAAUAAGUCAGAAGUGAAAUCCUAUGGCUCAACCAUAGAACUGCUUUUGAAACUGUUAACCUAGAGUGUGGGAGAGGUAGAUGGAAUUUCUGGUGUAGGGGUAAAAUCCGUAGAGAUCAGAAGGAAUACCGAUUGCGAAGGCGAUCUGCUGGAACAUAACUGACGCUGAGACGCGAAAGCGUGGGGAGCAAACAGGAUUAGAUACCCGCGUAGUC